Molecule: ribosomal RNA, 229 nt
Filed under: uncultured bacterium
Lineage: Bacteria
Description: partial 16S ribosomal RNA
Rfam family: Bacterial small subunit ribosomal RNA
Source: RNAcentral
UGCGUAGGCGGGAUAGCAAGUCAGAGGUGAAAUCCUACAGCUCAACUGUAGAACUGCCUUUGAUACUGUUAUUCUUGAGUAUCGGAGAGGUCGCUGGAAUUCGUGGUGUAGCGGUGAAAUGCGUAGAUAUCGCGAGGAACACCAGAGGCGUAGGCGGGCGACUGGACGAUUACUGACGCUGAGGCACGAAAGCGUGGGGAGCAAACAGGAUUAGAUACCCUGGUAGUCC